GACGAACGCUGGCGGCGCGCCUAACACAUGCAAGUCGAACGGAGCUUAGAGAGCUUGCUUUUUAAGCUUAGUGGCGAACGGGUGAGUAACGCGUGAGUAACCUGCCCUAGAGUGGGGGACAACAGUUGGAAACGACUGCUAAUACCGCAUAAGCCCAGGGUACCGCAUGGUACUGAGGGAAAAGGAUUUAUUCGCUUUAGGAUGGACUCGCGUCCAAUUAGCUAGUUGGUGAGGUAACGGCCCACCAAGGCGACGAUUGGUAGCCGGACUGAGAGGUUGAACGGCCACAUUGGGACUGAGACACGGCCCAGACUCCUACGGGAGGCAGCAGUGGGGGAUAUUGCACAAUGGGGGAAACCCUGAUGCAGCGACGCCGCGUGGAGGAAGAAGGUUUUCGGAUUGUAAACUCCUGUCGCUAGGGACGAUAAUGACGGUACCUAACAAGAAAGCACCGGCUAACUACGUGCCAGCCGCCGCCGUAA
This 482-nucleotide ribosomal RNA is filed under the name uncultured bacterium. Its description in RNAcentral is "partial 16S ribosomal RNA". It matches the Rfam family "Bacterial small subunit ribosomal RNA", at positions 28 to 523 of the family's 1533-position model. The record is from RNAcentral.